UACGAAGGGGGCUAGCGUUGCUCGGAUUUACUGGGCGUAAAGGGCGCGUAGGCGGACAGUUAAGUUGGGGGUGAAAGCCCGGGGCUCAACCUCGGAAUUGCCUUCAAUACUGGCUGUCUUGAGUGUGAGAGAGGUGUGUGGAACUCCGAGUGUAGAGGUGAAAUUCGUAGAUAUUCGGAAGAACACCAGUGGCGAAGGCGACACACUGGCUCACUACUGACGCUGAGGAGCGAAAGCGUGGGGAGCAAACAGG
RNAcentral lists this ribosomal RNA (253 nucleotides) under uncultured bacterium. RNAcentral describes it as "partial 16S ribosomal RNA". It matches the Rfam family "Bacterial small subunit ribosomal RNA", at positions 524 to 776 of the family's 1533-position model. The record is from RNAcentral.